Molecule: ribosomal RNA, 497 nt
Filed under: uncultured bacterium
Lineage: Bacteria
Description: partial 16S ribosomal RNA
Rfam family: Bacterial small subunit ribosomal RNA
Source: RNAcentral
GAUGAACGCUGGCGGCGUGCCUAAUACAUGCAAGUCGAGCGAACGGACGAGAAGCUUGCUUUUCUGAUGUUAGCGGCGGACGGGUGAGUAACACGUGGAUAACCUACCUAUAAGACUGGGAUAACUUCGGGAAACCGGAGCUAAUACCGGAUAAUAUUUUGCACCGCAUUGUUCAAAAGUGAAAGACGGUCUUGCUGUCACUUAUAGAUGGAUCCGCGCUGCAUUAGCUAGUUGGUAAGGUAACGGCUUACCAAGGCAACGAUGCAUAGCCGACCUGAGAGGGUGAUAGGCCACACUGGAACUGAGACACGGUCCAGACUCCUACGGGAGGCAGCAGUAGGGAAUCUUCCGCAAUGGGCGAAAGCCUGACGGAGCAACGCCGCGUGAGUGAUGAAGGUCUUCGGAUCGUAAAACUCUGUUAUUAGGGAAGAACAUAUGUGUAAGUAACUGUGCACAUCUUGACGGUACCUAAUCAGAAAGCCACGGCUAACUACGUG